AUGGGCAGCUUCUUCCCCAACACCGGUCGCCGCGCUCAGCCGCCGGGUUCUCCUUCCUUGUUUGCCAUGGGUUUCUUUGCAAGUCUUGUAGUGUUCAUGCUGCUGAUAGCCCCUUCCAGACAACAAGCAUUGGAUCAGCCAUCGUAUGCAAGAACGUUCGAACUGGAAACAACCAAUUACAUUGAGGUGCCUAUUUGGUUGGACCAAACGGCAGACCUCACAAGAGCAUCACAAAUAGUUUUUCACCCGGUAUUACCGCCACAACAACUUCACCUGCCGCCACAUCCAUGGAUCUUCCAGCUUCUAAGGGGCCUUCCACUACCUGGAGGAAAUGGUCAUGAAGCCAUCGCGAUGGCUAUACGGCCAGACAACAGGUAUUGGCUCGGCUAUUUCACCUUUCGCACUGGUCGUUGGCAUGCGUUUGCGGGAGCGGAGGGAUUCUUCGAGAAUCCAAUUCCGCUGGGUUUCGACAGUAGCUACAAGACUCUGGUAGGAGGAUGGAAGAAUCUUCAGUACGUGCCAUUAGGGAAAACUGCGGCAGAGCAGGCGGUUACAGCGCUCUAUUGGUCUAACUUCGGAACCAAGAGAACAAAGAAAGCUCUUAAGAAGUCAGCAGCAGGACUGCUGGUAAUGUUUCUCGAGGGCCACCGGUUUUUCCCCAUCAGGAACCACGUGGAGCAACACUGGAAUUCAGACAAGCCAGUAUUCCUUUCUGAAAAACUAGCCCGGUUGGUGGUCAACUGGUCUGACAUUAGCUGCUCAAUAUCAUAUUGGGCUGUCACCGGCGAUUGGGCGUCCGGAGACGACGCACAAUACCUCAUUGGAUUGAACAUCGGGGUGAGCACCGUGGGGGAAGCGCUUUCAACUAUCUACCCAAUUCUGCAGGCAACAUCCUGCAGGCAGUAUCCAUGA
Molecule: ribosomal RNA, 912 nt
Filed under: Triticum aestivum (bread wheat)
Lineage: Eukaryota; Viridiplantae; Streptophyta; Magnoliopsida; Poales; Poaceae
Description: partial small subunit ribosomal RNA
Source: RNAcentral